This 217-nucleotide unclassified non-coding RNA is filed under the name uncultured Solirubrobacterales bacterium. RNAcentral's name for it is "contains 16S-23S intergenic spacer region". The record is from RNAcentral. Lineage: Bacteria; Bacillati; Actinomycetota; Thermoleophilia; Solirubrobacterales.
UCCGGUUUGUCACCGGCAGUCUCGCAUGAGUCCCCAACUAAAUGCUGGCAACAUGCGACGGGGGUUGCGCUCGUUGCGGGACUUAACCCAACAUCUCACGACACGAGCUGACGACAGCCAUGCACCACCUGUGAUGGUGUCCCGAAGGAAAGGUGUGUUUCCACACCGGUCACCAACAUGUCAAGCCCAGGUAAGGUGGGGAUGACGUUCGUCUGAC